GAGGGAUCCAGCAACUUGGCCAAGAUGGUAUAACCAGCAAAAGCAGAGAGCCCAGGCUUGUCCAAGCCCCUGAUUCUAUGCUGCCCUCAUCCCAGGCCUGGUAGUCGUAGUAGGCCUGCUGGAAGAUUACGGGGAUAAUAUUGUGCCAGGAACAGUGAAGCUUUCUCAUUCCAUCUUCCCAGCAAUCCCUUGAGAUGGCCAUAAACGGUGAGGCAGCGCCUGUGCCUGGCAACCACAGACUUUUAAGCCCUAAUCACAGCUCUGCAGUCAGCUUCCAAGUAGUCCUGCUCCUGGAAGUCAGAGAACAUCCUGUCCUGCCCUCCCAGUGGGAGACAGAAGGAGACAGCUGAAUGGAAUGGGAUGCCCAGCCUCCUGCAGGGCUCCGAGGCUCCUGUAGACCCGGAGUUGUCGGAGUUGUUGCCAGAACCUUCCUCAGCCCCAGCUGCCCUGCGUGCCACCCCUGUCACAGCAGAUCCUGCCAUGCCCAUGACAAAGUUCUUUCCUCCUGCCCAGCUUACCUGUAUCCCACAGAAAGGCACCUUCUCAGUCAUCCAGACCUGCUCAGGCACAGGCUUUGGAGUCAACAGACCUGAAUGCUAGCUAGCUCUGCUUCUCAGGCAAGCCAUUUAACUUCUCUGCCUCAGUUUCCUCAUCUGAAAUUGGAGUUAGUAGUACCUAUCUCUUGGGGUUAUUGUUCAGGAAUAAAGGAGAAAGUAUCAUCAGUAAGGCAGUUAGCACAGUUCCUAGCCCACAGAAACUGCUUAGCAGAAUGUAGAUAAUAAUGUUAUUCUUAUUUCUGCUUCUAAGUGUUAGCUUCCAAGCCCCACCUCAAUA
Choloepus didactylus (southern two-toed sloth) is the source of this 834-nucleotide long non-coding RNA. RefSeq lists it as uncharacterized. The transcript is spliced from 3 exons. Lineage: Eukaryota; Metazoa; Chordata; Mammalia; Pilosa; Megalonychidae. The record is from RefSeq and is a predicted model, not a curated record.